Sceloporus undulatus (fence lizard) is the source of this 4535-nucleotide long non-coding RNA. RefSeq lists it as uncharacterized. The transcript is spliced from 3 exons. The record is from RefSeq and is a predicted model, not a curated record. Lineage: Eukaryota; Metazoa; Chordata; Lepidosauria; Squamata; Phrynosomatidae.
UUUUGUCUUUGGCAGGGGAGACUGCCACCCUUCUUCCAACGUGCCAAUCAUCAGCCUCAGGCCAACCAGGCUGCUGCAUGGAUAUUGGUCAGCCCACAGAGGAACAGAGGACAAGUGCCAGGGAUGGCCAGGGCCCAGGGAGCAUGGAUGUGUCUAAUGGCUGCUAACCAAGGGAUCAACAAAGCCCCUGCUUGUCCCAAAAGUGCCCCGGCUCAAACUUGCCAAAUACUUUUCAAGUGGAUGACAAGUCUACCAGAAAGACCCAAGAGUGCUACAGCACAAAUGUACCAGGGGAUGACUGCACCCAGAUGAUGCAGCUUUCAAAUGAGCAAGCUAGGAAAGGCCACUGAAACCAGGGAGUGCUGAAAUUGAAAGCCUUCCCUUAAGAAGUCUCCGGAUUCGUGGACCCCACCCUGUGCUCCAAAAUAUGGCGAUUGUCCAUCUGGCUACACUCAGGCCCAGAAGACCUAUGCACAGAUAUUGGUCCGCCUAUGGAGGAACAGCCAUGAAGCACAGGGGAUGUCCAUUCCCCAGGAAGUACAGAUACGCCUAAUGAUUCAAGGUCACAACAACACGACCAGGGGAUGACCACUGCACCAGAAUUAUCAAGAAGUGCCACAAUUCAAACCAAGGAAAUCGCCCUACAUUUGCCCUACAUUUUGUCCUUCUUUUUUAUAAUCUUUAUUAAGUGUUAUGAGAUUUAUACAGAAAACAUUUUAUCCUACUUUUUUUUUACAUUUGUCCUGGUUUGGAGAUAGACAAUUAUGUCAACCCUCUAUGUGCAGAUAUUGGCCUGCCCACAAAACAACAGCCACUGUAAAUAAGCUAUCCAAAAUCUGUUUUGAGUGUGAGGGACAGCAUCUUAGGUACUGUAGCUCUUUUAGUUCUGGCUAAAAUGUAGAAUGUAUUCCUAAUUCCACUGAUAUGGAAACCAUCAGCCCCUGCUGCAUUGAGGUGAUGCUAACCAAUUUGACUCUCAAGACGUCAGCAACAGUUUCAUCACCAGGAAUGCUGUGGGGAGCCUCCAAUUUCAUAUCUUCUCCAUAAUAAUGAAAAGAAGAAGGAAGGAAGGAAGGAAGGAAGGAAGGAAGGAAGGAAGAAGAGCCCAUGGACUUCUAAUCACAUUUAAUUGUAUCCAUUUUUCUCUCUCACCCUCAUCUUUUCUUUCUCUUUGUUUUCUUUCAUCCAUAACUUCUACAUUUUGUAGGAUCUCAUCUUUAUGUAUUCAAAAACAUAGCCAUGUUAGUCUGUAAAACCAAUAUGUGAAGAUAUCUUGUAGCACCUUUGAGACUAACUGAAAGAAAUUGGCAUCUAAGGAAGUAGACUUAAGGCUAUGAAAGCGCAUGCUGCCAAUUUCUUUCAGUCGGUCUCAAAGGCUCUACAAGAUCUUUUCACAGACUUUUAUGCAUGAUACCUGCAAAACGCCAUAUGCAUUGAUGGUAUAGAAAAUAUAAAGCUCUUCUUUCUGUGCUUUUUUGGUACAACUCAUUCUGGCCCUAUCCACAGCAAGCCAGUCACUUGGCUUGUGGGAGAAAAAAGCAGGGCAUAUUUCCUGCCUCUGCAGAGUCUAUUGAUAGCAACAGGGGCAUCCUGUGGCUUUCAUGUCAAGUGUGUGGUGAAGUCCUGGAUCCUGCCCCCCAGAUAGAUUCAUCAUCUUGGAUAGUGCCUAUGAAAUAAGGAUUAAAACCCAACUCUAUGAUUCUAUGAAAAUUUGACUACAUUUCUGACAAAGAAGCUUUCAGCCUUGAUAGCCAAGGAGAAUGAAAACAGGAAACGCUGCACAUCUUUGAGACCUAUUUACUGUAUUUCAGCAUGAGCUUUCAUGGAUACCAAUCAACAUUUUCGGAUGCACUGAUGGAGUAUAAAACUAUAUACUUGUGUGCCUUCAAGUCAUUUCCGACUCAUGACAACCUGAAGGCAACCCUCUCAUGGGGUUUUAUUGGCAUGAUUUCUUCAGAGGGGGAUAGUCAUGAUCUUCCUCAGAGGCUGAGAGUGUGUGAUUUAGACAUAGGUGUUUAAGAACAGCUAUAUAAUUGUGGGAGUAGGAUCAGAAUGUAAUAGGAUACAGAAAAAGGCAAACUGUGACCUUGACCAUAAAUCUUUAAAGAGGUGUAUGAGUUCAUUGAAUUUGUAAAUAUAUCUCAGUUCUUCUGUUUCUCUUAUGAUGUUUAUAGCUAGUGGAGGGGGCAAAUCUUUCAGAGAAUAAUACACAUUUGUUAUAAGGGCAACAUGCACAGAGCAUCUAUAUCCAGACUGUACUUCAGCUGGCUUCAAUACCACCAUAUAUUGAUACAUUAUGAUCAUUUUGGUAUGUGUGUUUGGAAGCACCCCUGGUUUUAAGGACAGAAGACCAUGUGAAAUAGUAUAUUUGUAGGUUCCUGACAGUUGCUUAGAAGGGAUGGAGCCAGCCUGACUUUCUUUAGGAAACAGUUUCACAGUUGAAGAUAACAGUAAAGAAAAAGCCUGUUACAUGGACUCAUCAACUUAGCCUGGGAAGGGGGGCACACAAUUGGAUCAAGUAUAGUAAAACAGCAACCCUAAUCACCAGACAUGCUCUCUGAGGCUGAUGAGAGAUGUGUUUCAAAACACAGCAUCUCUAGAUAAUGCCCCUUUAAAUUGUUUCUCCUGCUUAUAAAAGAAACAUGUAAGAAAAUGCUAGCAAGAAACUCAUAUAGUUAAUGAACCUAUGGACAUAAUCUAUUGGCAUUCCAGUGUAAGUCAGAGUUUACAGUGAUAAGCAAAUGCUCCCCCAUCAUAUAAUACAACGGAAGCCAGUGAAAUCUGUAUCAAUCACAAUCCACUGGAGAAUUCCAAAAUAAAUUGUUCAAAAUGCUGAGGAUGCAACAUCCAUGAUAAACAGGUUAAUUAUGUCCUCAUAAUUAAAUCUAAAUUUCCUGUUCAUUUGUUCUGGAUUUUUAAUUUUGAAUGAAACACAUUUUAUCAUUCAUGUUAUGUAGACAAGUUCUCUCGGGUCUUACUGAUGGCUAGAUGAUAAAUCAAGUUUUGGAAACUUACUCAUUAACUUUUGUUAAAAUGAAAUAUAUGUGAUAUCCUCCAAAACUGCCAACAUAGGGGUGAAAAAGAUGGUUAAAAAGAGCCAGCUUUCUGGCGGACUGGGGGUGUGGCGUUAAGACAACAGCAUGCCUCCCGUCCACUGGAAAGCCGCACAGCUGACUGCACAUGCAGCAGUGUUUCAGUAGUGCAUCAUUUACACACACUGCACUAAAGAAACAUUGAAAGAAUGCUGCUGCUGAAGCAGCAAUAGCACCCUUCUUACAGCGCAAAAAGCAGUGGCUUUCUGCCUCUCCUUUUUGCGCCAGGAAAAGGUCAUGAUGGAGCGUGGCAUGUGGUUGCCAUGGCCGCAACCCAGCAAGCAAAGGGGUGGCAGAAAGUCAUUCCUUACCUGCCAUCUGUUUCGCCCCUUGGUUGCUUUUUUAAAAAAGUGAUCCAUUAAAUUAACUAAUUUAAUACAAAGUAUGACUAAGCAGAAGUUGCUCAACCUUUUAUGCCUAAAGCUCCCUAGAGAUCAUUUAAAAACCACUAUUCUUAGUAAACCAGAAAUUUAUAUUACAAGACAUGACUCACGAAUGAGUGUUAUGUGUGGUAGCAAACCAAGGAAUGGGCUCUCAUUGUGUGGAUCUAUAUUACACUGAGCAAGACUCAUCUUUGCCAAGUUACUGCCUCUAAUUUUUCUCAAGCUGUAUGAUGUCAGACAGAAAAUACAAGUUUGUACUUGAUGUUUGUUUAGGAGUGGUUAUGUUCCUUUAAAAUAUUCAAGAUGUACUGUAUAAAGUGUAUAGAAAAGCCACCGCAUGGUGGUAACAAUGUUAGGGUCAGCUAAACCCAAACCUACAUAGACCAACUCUCCAGGUGAAGAUCACAAGAAGCAUGCAACUCUUUUGUUACAGCAAAUUCACUGGUGAGUAGUCUCUUUCCAGGAAAUAUUUUGAGGAGAGAGGCAGGGUCUUGAAUAAAUAAACAAACAAAUUCAAUCAAUCCUUUCUUGAGAUGUAUGUGUACAUGAUUACAAAUAGAUCCCUGAAAUCAUUAACUUGAGUAAAGGAAUGUGUUGCUUUCACCAUUCAAAGACAGAAAGGAAACUCUUAAUGUUCAUACAGUCUGGCCAACAUGACCACAAAGAGGGGAUUCCAGACCUGGUGAUUUUUUUUAAGUGUGCCUCCAAAUGUUUGCCAGAAGCAGAUCCGAGUGAUGGGUGGGGAUGACCAGUAAGUAAUUUUGGGCUGGUUGACCAAGUAAGCACCUCUGGAAUAGGGUGAUGACUUUGAGCCAAGGAGGACAAAGUGCCCUCCUUCUGACCACCAUCUUGAGGGGGAGAGAGGCAGGCCAGCAACAACAGGCCUUGCCUGAAGGACAAAGAGCCCUCCUUCCGACCACCAUCUUGAGGGGGAGAGAGGCAGGCCGGCGGCAACAAGCCUCAACUGAUGGCUUUGACUGCUUUGUACAUGGUUUUUGAGGAUUUUUGUUGAAUUGUAUGAGAUCGCUGAUGUCACUGUUGAUGUAUUGUAUUGCUUUGU